GGAAGCGAAGCCGGAGCUGCGGGCGCUUAUUCUGCCCGCGGUGUCUCAGAUUCAUUCUUAAGGAACUGAGAACUUAAUCUUCCAAAAUGUCAAAAAGACCAUCUUAUGCCCCACCUCCCACCCCAGCUCCUGCAACAGCAUCCUCUGGUAUCACGAUUCCAAAACCCCCAAAGCCACCAGAUAAGCCGCUGAUGCCCUACAUGAGGUACAGCAGAAAGGUCUGGGACCAAGUAAAGGCUUCCAACCCUGACCUAAAGUUGUGGGAGAUUGGCAAGAUUAUUGGUGGCAUGUGGCGAGAUCUCACUGAUGAAGAAAAACAAGAAUAUUUAAACGAAUACGAAGCAGAAAAGAUAGAGUACAAUGAAUCUAUGAAGGCCUAUCAUAAUUCCCCCGCGUACCUUGCUUACAUAAAUGCAAAAAGUCGUGCAGAAGCUGCUUUAGAGGAAGAAAGUCGACAGAGACAAUCUCGCAUGGAGAAAGGAGAACCGUACAUGAGCAUUCAGCCUGCUGAAGAUCCAGAUGGUAAAAGAAAAAAAGUGGAGUUUUGUUUAUGCUUUCUCUGAGAGUUAAGAUAUGAGAAAUCUCUUAAGUUUUUAUUUCUUAUCCUAAAUGGAAAAGAAAGCAUAAUUUAAGUAUCAUCUUAGUAUUUUGGUUAUAUUGAGUAAGAUUUGUAUGUGAAUUUCCCACAAGAAAAAGAAAUAUCCUUUUCAGUGCAGAAAAUAGCAAAAAUUAUUUGUUGUUUAUCAAAAUCUUUGUACUCAAAAUGCAUGAAAGGUUUUUAAAUCACAAUCAGAAUUUUGCCUCAUCUGCUUUUAAAAAGCUAAAUGCAUUCUAGUUAUAUCCUGUUUUCUUAUUGGUUCACUAAAUUCGCUGAAUUAAAGGCUAUUAAGGGAGAAGCUAAUGAGUAUGUGGAAACAUGAAGUUUCCUUUCCAUUUAAUUCAGAAAUCCAAUAAGAAUGUAUAAAUAUAGCUCAUGCUACUGUUUGUAUGGGUGUACAUGAGGGUAUACCCAUACAAAUUUUAUACAUGCACACGAAUGGCAGAGCUUCCUAAUUGCCAUUCUGUAUGAGUAGUUAGCAGGUGUGCUGAUUGUUCUGGUCUUGUGCAGCCAGGCAGGGUCUGAAGCUGCAAGGAGACCCAGAGAUAGCCACCUGCAGUGUGAACGCACUCAACCACGUAUCUAGUGUGCUGUAUAAACAUUAAUAGUUUCUCUGUGUACUGCUAUGAUGUGCAAAAGGUUAGAAGCUCUAGCUGCAAGCGACAAGAACAUCAGAAAAAUGAUUUAAGAUCCCAUCUUAAAGUAGCGGUAACAAAGAGGAAGGCUAUAAGAACUUUAAAGACAAUAUCAAUGAGGGAGGAAGCAAUAAUAGUACCUGAAGACAAGAAUAAGUUGAUAAAAGUGGGGAAAAAUAGAAGUCAUUUUUUAAAAUAAUGUACUGGAAUAUUGUCAAAUGUUCUCAUAAAUACAGACAGUGGAAUGUAAUACUAUAGAGAAUAGAAUAUGGAAUAGAAGCAGUAUUGAAUGUUAAACAGAAUCAGCAGUGCUAAAGACACACUAGCAUCCUCACACUUUAAUUACUCAAAUGGGAUGAUUAAUGCAAUAGAAACAUACAGAACUAAAAAACAGAAGACAAUCCAGUCUACAGAUAUUGGGAGGAUGGAGGUCAGGACAAGAGGAAACAAAGGCUAGCAACAUAAGUAGAAAAUAACUAAAGCUUUCAUUAACACCAUGAACACUGAGAAGGACUGAAGAAAUUCACUCAGAAACAGUCUCAAACUUGGGCCUAUUAUGUUUUUAACUUUAAGAUUGGGUCUUAAAGUUGCUAGUAAGUUCAGGUAGCAAUUAAGAUGCCAGUAUGAGAACGUCUUUAGCAUACCAGUACGAAAAUGAUUAGAAAGAGGAAUACUUGGGAGGUGGAAAUGUAUGUCAAAUGUACAUAAGAGAAAGGUGGCAUCUGCAUGAAGUACAACAGCUACUGACUUCUUUAACAGAGGACUAUCAAAAGAUAGACAUGGCCAGGCACCGUGGCUCAUGCCUGUAAUCCCAAUACUUUGGGAAACUGAAGCAGGAGGAUCGUUUGUGGCCAAGAGUUUGAGACCAGCCUGGGCAACACAGCAAGACCUUAUCUCUACAGAACACUUAAAAAUUAGCUGGGCAUGGUGGCUUGUGCCUGUAGUCCCGGCUACUCCGACUGAGGCUGAGGUGGGAGGAUCAGUUGAGCCCAGGAAUUCGAGGCUGCAGUGAGCUAUGAUCAUGCCACUGUCCUCCAUCCUGGAU
RNAcentral lists this small RNA (2278 nucleotides) under Pongo abelii (Sumatran orangutan). RNAcentral's name for it is "retained intron". The record is from RNAcentral. Lineage: Eukaryota; Metazoa; Chordata; Mammalia; Primates; Hominidae.